This 656-nucleotide ribosomal RNA is filed under the name Sulfitobacter pontiacus. RNAcentral describes it as "bacterial SSU rRNA". It matches the Rfam family "Bacterial small subunit ribosomal RNA", at positions 49 to 754 of the family's 1533-position model. The record is from RNAcentral. Lineage: Bacteria; Pseudomonadati; Pseudomonadota; Alphaproteobacteria; Rhodobacterales; Roseobacteraceae.
CUACACAUGCAGUCGAGCGCACCUUCGGGUGAGCGGCGGACGGGUUAGUAACGCGUGGGAACAUACCCUUUUCUACGGAAUAGCCUCGGGAAACUGAGAGUAAUACCGUAUAAGCCCUUCGGGGGAAAGAUUUAUCGGGAAAGGAUUGGCCCGCGUUAGAUUAGAUAGUUGGUGGGGUAAUGGCCUACCAAGUCUACGAUCUAUAGCUGGUUUUAGAGGAUGAUCAGCAACACUGGGACUGAGACACGGCCCAGACUCCUACGGGAGGCAGCAGUGGGGAAUCUUAGACAAUGGGCGCAAGCCUGAUCUAGCCAUGCCGCGUGUGUGAUGAAGGUCUUAGGAUCGUAAAGCACUUUCGCCAGGGAUGAUAAUGACAGUACCUGGUAAAGAAACCCCGGCUAACUCCGUGCCAGCAGCCGCGGUAAUACGGAGGGGGUUAGCGUUGUUCGGAAUUACUGGGCGUAAAGCGUACGUAGGCGGAUUGGAAAGUUGGGGGUGAAAUCCCAGGGCUCAACCCUGGAACUGCCUCCAAAACUAUCAGUCUAGAGUUCGAGAGAGGUGAGUGGAAUUCCAAGUGUAGAGGUGAAAUUCGUAGAUAUUUGGAGGAACACCAGUGGCGAAGGCGGCUCACUGGCUCGAUACUGACGCUGAGGUAC